CAUGCUGGAGCGCAUGUUGUGAUGUAGGCUCCAGACGCUUUGAUUGCUUUGAUUGCUUGUGCGCGUUUUAGGUGACUAUAGCACCAGCUUGUGGUUGCUGUACCGCAUACUUCAGUGAAUAGUACGUCGAAGACAGAAUGGAGAACUUGAGGAGUUAUCGGUUACUGUGAUCGCGUAUAACUUAGCCGACUGGCGACGUUAUGGCCACUGAGAUCAACGUUUGUUCCGAACCACGGAGUUCCGAACCAUGGAGCAUCCAUGGAGGAAGGAAACAAUUUUCCCAACCAACUAGUGAAACUGUGACAACUAGUGAACUGGUAGGUGUUCUGUGGUGACACUUUACCUUAUGACGCUCCUUUGUUGCUAAUGUCGUACGUGCACAAGCUCGUUCGUGUUGAAACUACGGAGGGGGAUGUUCUCGCUGGUUACGUUAAGACAGUCGACCAAAUCUCCGAAAGGUCUCACCGCCGCCUUGGACAAUUUCUUCGCAGCCACUGGGUACUGAGGGCCAAGGGUCAAUUGCUGUAUUCACGGAAGGUUGCGGCCAGGUACUGCACCAGGGUGGCCAAUCCUGCUCUGGUGAAGGAGUCCAUUACCGGCAGCUGGUCGCCAGUGAUGCCGCACUGCAGACCUCUUGUUAUUGUUUUCUUUUUUUAAUGAUACUUUAUCACGCAUUUUAAGUAAGUAUGCGAUUGGGAAUGGUUCGGUAUCUGCAUUCGAGCUGAAUUUUGUCAUUCCAUGCUAGGUUGCUGCGCUACCUCUAAGAAGAGGGUUCUGCUGCACUUUCUUAGCAUUGUAGAAUACCACCUUACUGCCUAUCAGCUCUGAACUUCACAUGAUUCGUAGUUCAUCUGGUUUUUUUCUCAACUGUUUCAAAGUCCCUAUUUCCAUUAUUAAAAAAAAACAGCAAAGUUUCGAACUUCUAACCUUGUGAGCUUAGCCCAGCUGAGUGCCCUGGAUAAACCCUCCUUCUCAUGCGUUUAUUAUCUCCUAACUUCUUCCUGUCUCGCUGAAUUUUGACAUUAUUGGCUUAAAAAUGUCCACAGUGUCGGAGUUUUGCUGUUGCAUUCCCACUCUGACGUUUCCUGACAACUGAUGAGUAGCUUGUCUGAUUGCCUACUUCUAUGUGAUUGUUAUGUUGAGAGUAUGUUUUACGGGCAGUUGAUGUGCAUGAAAAUAAAUGCAAAAAGUUUCCAAGUGCUGACAGGUGCUGUCUUUAAGGCUGUAUCCUAUUUUGUUGGUGGUUUGGAGUAGUAAUUAAAACUCUGGUAAAUAGAUAUAGAAGUAGACAGUGGCCCUCAGUCGGGAGGCAGAUAUACGUACUAGUAAUUACAUCUAUGGUUAGCCUAAUAACAUUGGAUGAAAAGGUAAGGAACAUAUUAUUUCUAGUUCUAGAAAGCGGCGAAAGGCAUGAAACUUCGUACGAAAGUAAUGACGUGUUUGCAUCACUGACCACAAAGUGUCAGCUUGAAUUUCUAGACUUCGACGACAAGGGGAGGGUCGUCCACCAUUCUGUGGUAGUUAUAGCUUUAAAACAUUUUUCAGUGGCUUUUUUUUUUGCCUGAAUUUUCAAGUCUCUGUUUCACCUUUAUUGUGCUUUACAGUGAGCCAUUAGCGUGAUAUCGGUGAGCACUAGGAGGAGGAAAAAACUGGGUUAGGUCAGCCACUUCUCAGUACGAUGUUCGGAAGUUUGACUAUCUCUCCAAAUCGAACUAUAAAAAUGCACUAUAUAGGUUUCUGCAUAAAAAUGAAUUGAUUCCGCUGCCUGUAAAUUCAGAUUCUUUUGUUUUGUCUCUCUAAUAAAUAAAAGACUCAUUGGAAGUAUAAUUGACUGGGGGUUAGAUCAUCAUUUUUAUUCACAAUUAUCACCUCCUACAAUGAAUGCAAUAAGUGAUGAGGAAUUCACUGAAAUUUCUGGGGCUGAAUUAUCGAAGGUGUUAUCUAGCCUUCCAUCAGCCGCUCCGGGCCUGGACGGAGUCACCACGGCUAUGCUGAAAGUGCUAAAUAAGGAAUGCCAAGAAUAUUUAUUAGAUGUGUAUAAUUACUUAUUAUGAAUGGCGUGGCUCCCAUCAGAGUGAAAGAUUCGGAAGGUGAUACCUUUACUUAAAAAUCCGGGUAAGGGAUAUGUUUUGGGCAGCAUUGGGCCUAUCGUGCUAACUCCAAUAUUUGUAAAAUUGAUAGAAAAAUAUUUGCAUCCUCAUUUUAAUCAAUGAACAUGCAACACUAAAUUCAUACCAAAUUGGCUUCUCAGCAGGAUGCUCUAUAUGUCAGGCUCAUAUAGACCUUGAAGACUCGCAUUCAGUUGGCUAGGUGUGAAAGGAAAUAUGCUGUGUUAGUCCCACUGGACAGGGUAGAGCACGUAGUUCUAAAUAAUCGGCUCCAAAACCGUAACUUUCCGAGAUAUAUUCAGGCAUGGAUUGUGAAAUUCUUACGAGAUAGAACGUUCUUCUGUUUCCAAAGCGGGAUAUCUCAUCUGCUACACGUAUUCGCACACAAGAGGCAUCCCCCCUCAAGCGGCAGUCCUUUCACUAGUGUUAUUCAAUAUCUUAAUGAGCUCUAUUCCACGACAUACGGACUUACAGACAUAUGUGUAUGCUGAUGACAUUGCAUUUUUUUUGCAUCAGAAGAUGAUAUUCACAAACUAUACACCAUAUUACAGGCAUAAACAGCCAUAGAAAGUUGGCUACAUGAUAUGCAUUUGUACUUAAAUGUCAGCAAAUGCUCUUUGCUGACAGUCCCUUUAAAAUACCCUAUUUACAUGUCACUCUAUCAUCAUCUGACAAAUAAAGGGGUGCAACAGCUGUGCCAAUUUGAUACAAUUCCCCUUCGUUGCGCCGAGCUGUGCCAAAACCACGAAAUUUGCUGAAAUUGCGUCACGCUGUGCCAAAAUGCCCGACCAUGCAGCCUCAAACUUAUCUAACAUGCGUUAAAUUUAGCGCGAAAUGGAGGCCACAUUGGCCACCUGCACUUUGCGUCAUCAAUCAAACCAAGCAACAGACCCGAACCAUAAAGCACGGAGCAAGUUAUAUAUACUUGUUAGGUGACGACACUCGCGAAUCGCGGUCGACCAUAUAAAGUAUAAAAUGAAGUAACAACUCUACGCACCUUGUUCUAUAGACAAUCCAAUUUGUUGCAGCAAGUUGCUGCAAGUGUUAUGUAUGACUGUAUCGUUGCGUUGCGGUUUUAUAAAUAAAUGGCUAUUUUCCA
This 3207-nucleotide long non-coding RNA is filed under the name Rhipicephalus microplus (southern cattle tick). RNAcentral describes it as "uncharacterized LOC119176216". The record is from RNAcentral. Lineage: Eukaryota; Metazoa; Arthropoda; Arachnida; Ixodida; Ixodidae.